GAUGAACGCUGGCGGCGUGCCUAAUACAUGCAAGUCGAGCGAACGGACGAGAAGCUUGCUUCUCUGAUGUUAGCGGCGGACGGGUGAGUAACACGUGGAUAACCUACCUAUAAGACUGGGAUAACUUCGGGAAACCGGAGCUAAUACCGGAUAAUAUUUUGAACCGCAUGGUUCAAAAGUGAAAGACGGUCUUGCUGUCACUUAUAGAUGGAUCCGCGCUGCAUUAGCUAGUUGGUAAGGUAACGGCUUACCAAGGCAACGAUGCAUAGCCGACCUGAGAGGGUGAUGGGCCACACUGGAACUGAGACACGGUCCAGACUCCUAAGGGAGGCAGCAGUAGGGAAUCUUCCGCAAUGGGCGAAAGCCUGACGGAGAAACGCCGCGUGAGUGAUGAAGGUCUUCGGAUCGUAAAACUCUGUUAUUAGGGAAGAACAUAUGUGUAAGUAACUGUGCACAUCUUGACGGUACCUAAUCAGAAAGCCACGGCUAACUACGUG
RNAcentral lists this ribosomal RNA (497 nucleotides) under uncultured bacterium. Its description in RNAcentral is "partial 16S ribosomal RNA". It matches the Rfam family "Bacterial small subunit ribosomal RNA", at positions 28 to 507 of the family's 1533-position model. The record is from RNAcentral.